Molecule: long non-coding RNA, 1069 nt
Organism: Daucus carota subsp. sativus
Lineage: Eukaryota; Viridiplantae; Streptophyta; Magnoliopsida; Apiales; Apiaceae
Exons: 2
Source: RefSeq, a predicted model, not a curated record
GAAAGUGUUCAUAUUUACUUUUUAAUUAAAUCAAAUAAUUUUUUCAAGUAAAAACAUAAUUUUUUUUUUAAAAUGACACCGAAUCCCAUUUAUCUUGAGACAGUGCCGGUUUGGGAUUUUUUCGCAGAACUCUGUAACGAAAGGAUUCAACUUUCAAGUAGCCAGUGUAUGCAUAUGUAUACACAAACAUGCAAUGCAAGUAACGUAACUGCGGACGAUGUAGUUGCCACGGAACACCGUAUAAUUAUGCCAAGGGACGGCGGCCGUUUGCGACGGCUGGAUAUUUUAAGGAUCACAAAAAAAACAAUGUAUGAGGAUGCAUGGAACAUGUUCUGCUUAAUGCCUCAUACGAUGUUCUUUUCUGUGAUUUCAAUUAUUUUCAUAUUGCCUUUAUUACUGAGUAAUAAUAUCAGAUUUUUAGGGUCAGUAUGCAUAAGAGAGAAAAUCAAUGAGCUUGAAACAUUUUCUAGUUAAGUUUUCAUGAGAGUUCGACCUUGAUUGAAUUUAUUGAUGGCGCUUUACGAUCACAAUCAUCAGGUGAAAGGAAACCAUAGUAAUAGUAUAUGCCUCACUACUUCUACUUGAUCAGGAUACAGAAGUCUUUCACAAUUGGCCAUGGUGCCUGUUGGUUUAUAUAGCAAUUGUGUGCUUGGUGAAAGGACGCUACAGAUCUUAUUUUACAGAGUCUGCUCUUAAUUACGAUUAUGGGGUCAUAUAGGAUCUUGUGCUGAUGUUGCUAAUAAAUUUUUUUAACUUAGGGCAGUUAGCAUACAUUCAUUGCCUUGCGCAGGAAGAGAUGGGUAGUAGUGACACUAUCCACUAGGCCAGUUCCCAGUCAGAUUGAGAUUUACUAUCCAGAUAUAUCAAGGUGCCUGUCAAUUACAGAGGUGCUCAUAAUAAGGCUGCUAGAGCUAGACAUCACAUUAUGAUAAAUGUAUUAUGGAUGACUGUAAUAGAAGGUACUUACUGUAAAAAGUUUCGGCAAGGAUAGCUUCAGGGGAGAGUUAUAUUAUUGAUGAAAACCUUGUGCACCAAAAUGUUUUCCAGUUCUCUAGUUAAAUUUGUGCCA